Molecule: long non-coding RNA, 506 nt
Filed under: Junco hyemalis (dark-eyed junco)
Lineage: Eukaryota; Metazoa; Chordata; Aves; Passeriformes; Passerellidae
Description: lncRNA (ENSJHYG00000004443.1)
Source: RNAcentral
AUGCUGAGACGGGGAUUCGUAUUUCACACGUUCCCGGCGGCGCGGGGGAGGAUGCACCAGCGCUGCUGCGUAGGGACUCGGCGCUGCGAGCGGUCCCGAAUUCCCUCAAACCCCGCCGCCCCUCCCGCACGGGCUCCCUCCAGGCGGGGACACCGGGCCGGCUCCGCUCCGCCGCCGAGCGAGCAGCGCCGUACCCCGGCUGCGGCAGCGGGAAGGGCCCGGGGAAGCCACCCCCAGGGAGACGGGAACGCGAAACGCAGCAGUGGUAUUGUCAAACCAAUAACCUGCAUCUCACUUGAUUUGGGUGCCACAUGAGGUGAUGCAGAAAGCUGUCUGUGCUGUGAGGAACACCACAGAGUGCCUUGAGAUGGAGAACAGCAAAAAAGACCUUCAGUUUGGGGAGCUGGCUCAAACACUUCUUCAGCAUGCAGUGGCUUUCAUAGAAGAGGUUUUUAUAUCUGAAUACUUAUGAUAAAGCAGAAUAAAAAAAAGAAAAUAAAAAGACA